GUCGAGCGGUAACAUUUCUAGCUUGCUAGAAGAUGACGAGCGGCGGACGGGUGAGUAAUGCUUGAGGAAUAUGCCUUAGGGUGGGGGACAACAGUUGGAAACGACUGCUAAUACCGCAUAACGUCUACGGACCAAAGGGGGCUUCGGCUCUCGCCCUUAGAUUAGCCCAAGUGGGAUUAGCUAGUUGGUGAGGUAAUGGCUCACCAAGGCGACGAUCCCUAGCUGGUUUGAGAGGAUGAUCAGCCACACUGGAACUGAGACACGGUCCAGACUCCUACGGGAGGCAGCAGUGGGGAAUAUUGCACAAUGGGCGCAAGCCUGAUGCAGCCAUGCCGCGUGUGUGAAGAAGGCCUUAGGGUUGUAAAGCACUUUCAGUAAGGAGGAAAGGUUAGUAGUUAAUACCUGCUAGCUGUGACGUUACUUACAGAAGAAGCACCGGCUAACUCCGUGCCAGCAGCCGCGGUAAUACGGAGGGUGCGAGCGUUAAUCGGAAUUACUGGGCGUAAAGCGUACGCAGGCGGUUUGUUAAGCGAGAUGUGAAAGCCCCGGGCUCAACCUGGGAACUGCAUUUCGAACUGGCAAACUAGAGUAUGAUAGAGGGUGGUAGAAUUUCAGGUGUAGCGGUGAAAUGCGUAGAGAUCUGAAGGAAUACCGAUGGCGAAGGCAGCCACCUGGGUCAAUACUGACGCUCAUGUACGAAAGCGUGGGGAGCAAACGGGAUUAGAUACCCCGGUAGUCCACGCCGUAAACGAUGUCUACUA
RNAcentral lists this ribosomal RNA (761 nucleotides) under uncultured bacterium. Its description in RNAcentral is "bacterial SSU rRNA". It matches the Rfam family "Bacterial small subunit ribosomal RNA", at positions 61 to 818 of the family's 1533-position model. The record is from RNAcentral.